This 292-nucleotide ribosomal RNA is filed under the name uncultured bacterium. Its description in RNAcentral is "partial 16S ribosomal RNA". The record is from RNAcentral.
GGACUACACGGGUUUCUAAUCCUGUUUGCUCCCCACGCUUUCGUGCCUGAGCGUCAGUGUUAGCCCAGGGGGCUGCCUUCGCCAUCGGUGUUCCUCCACAUCUCUACGCAUUUCACUGCUACACGUGGAAUUCCACCCCCCUCUGCCACACUCGAGCCCGUUAGUUUCCAAUGCAGUUCCCAGGUUGAGCCCGGGGCUUUCACAUCGGACUUCGCGGACCGCCUGCGCACGCUUUACGCCCAGUAAUUCCGAUUAACGCUCGCACCCUACGUAUUACCGCGGCUGCUGGCAC